RNAcentral lists this unclassified non-coding RNA (324 nucleotides) under Hevea brasiliensis (rubber tree). The record is from RNAcentral. Lineage: Eukaryota; Viridiplantae; Streptophyta; Magnoliopsida; Malpighiales; Euphorbiaceae.
CGAGCUGCUCGCCGAGGAGGCGGCGGCGGGGCGCGAGGCGGCGUUCGACUUCGCGUUCGUGGACGCGGACAAGCCCAACUACGUCAAGUACCACGAGCAGCUGCUGCAGCUGGUGCGCGUCGGCGGGCACAUCGUGUACGACAACACGCUGUGGGCCGGCACGGUGGCGCUGCCGCCGGACACGCCGCUGUCGGACCUGGACCGGAGGUUCUCCGUCGCCAUCAGGGACCUCAACUCCAGGCUCGCCGCCGACCCGCGCAUCGACGUCUGCCAGCUCGCCAUCGCCGACGGCAUCACCAUCUGCCGCCGCCUCGUGUGAGGUCG